CCGAGCUUACAACUCCCAAACCCCUGUGAACAUACCACUUGUUGCCUCGGCGGAUCAGCCCGCUCCCGGUAAAACGGGACGGCCCGCCAGAGGACCCCUAAACUCUGUUUCUAUAUGUAACUUCUGAGUAAAACCAUAAAUAAAUCA
This 147-nucleotide unclassified non-coding RNA is filed under the name soil metagenome. Its description in RNAcentral is "partial internal transcribed spacer 1". The record is from RNAcentral.